AGGUAGUGUCUGGGACCAACCACCAUUGGAUAAAUGUAAUCCAGGUAGAGUCUCGAAAUGUUGUGCAGCUAAUGGAGUAACGAGGACGGAGUGCGGGCUGUCACCCGGGCUAUCAUACGGAUCUGAUCUAGACUACGAAGUGUGUAAUCACUGCCAUAAAUUGGAGAAAAGAGACAAUCACAUGUGUGGAAAACACUGUUACAAUUAUCAAGAAUGUAAUAUGAGUUCAAACUGUGGAAACACAAUGGGAGGAAGUUAUUGGCGAGGUAAUCCAUAUAAUCCAUUCCCAUACCAGUUAGUGUGUAGGUUUUGCGAAUGUAUUGCUAGUCGUGGUUGUUGUUCAAAUUAUUGUGGUGGAAGAUGACCCUUAACUGAGCAAAAGAGUCUAUCAAAUGUAUCAACUUUCUUCACUUUCUAGUUAUUUUAGCUCAAUUAAAAUUUUGCUUUCUUUUAGAUAAUAUUUAUUUAAUAAAAGCUUGCAUUUUGAGCAAUAUACAUGUAUAUCAUAGAAUAAAACUUUUUUUUAGUUUUUUUUAAGAAUGUAUCGAUGUGUAGAAUCAUGCCUUUAUCUAUCGUUAAAUAGAACUCUGAAUGACAUUUUUAAUUCCAAUCCUUUAGCCAUUAUUUACACACUGAUUUGUCUACGGACUUUUUUCGUUCACUUGAUCUUAAUUUCAAGGUGAAAACUGAAAAUUUAGGAUAUUUACUUAUCUGUCAGUAACUUGUAUAAGUGAAUAAAUUGAUUAAAGUAUUCUCAAUAUUGAAUGAAUUAGGAUAUCUAAAAACCAUAUGUAUGAAAGCGCGCAAAAUUUUAUUGAUCCGUAUAUGUCAUUGAUGGAAGAGACCGUAAACAGUUGACCUUUAAAAUUCAUAUGAAAUCUCUCAUCAAAAUGGCUUUAUUAAAAGAAUAUCUUACUAUUCUACAGCAAAUCGUUUAAAUGGAUUUUGAGCUUGAUUGCUGUUGGGUACGAAUCUCCAUAAAAAGUUGAUUUUACAAGUUUAUAAUCAGGACCCAGUAAAAUAAGAUGCUAAUUUCGUUACGUCAGUGGACCGGGGAAAGCGUUUAUACUUAUCAAUUUUGAAUGAAGUUCAACUAAAAAUGUAAGAUGUUUAAUGCGUUGAUAUUU
Molecule: long non-coding RNA, 1127 nt
Organism: Saccostrea cuccullata (small rock oyster)
Lineage: Eukaryota; Metazoa; Mollusca; Bivalvia; Ostreida; Ostreidae
Exons: 5
Source: RefSeq, a predicted model, not a curated record